This 23-nucleotide non-coding RNA is filed under the name Arabidopsis thaliana (thale cress). Lineage: Eukaryota; Viridiplantae; Streptophyta; Magnoliopsida; Brassicales; Brassicaceae. The record is from RNAcentral.
UCACCUAAUGGGAAAUGUCAGAU